GAUGAACGCUGGCGGCGUGCCUAAUACAUGCAAGUCGAGCGAACAGACGAGGAGCUUGCUCCUCUGACGUUAGCGGCGGACGGGUGAGUAACACGUGGAUAACCUACCUAUAAGACUGGGAUAACUUCGGGAAACCGGAGCUAAUACCGGAUAAGAUAUUGAACCGCAUGGUUCAAUAGUGAAAGACGGUUUUGCUGUCACUUAUAGAUGGAUCCGCGCCGCAUUAGCUAGUUGGUAAGGUAACGGCUUACCAAGGCAACGAUGCGUAGCCGACCUGAGAGGGUGAUCGGCCACACUGGAACUGAGACACGGUCCAGACUCCUACGGGAGGCAGCAGUAGGGAAUAUUCCGCAAAGGGCGAAAGCCUGACGGAGCCACGCCGCGUGAGUGAUGAAGGUCUUCGGAUCGUAAAACUCUGUUAUUAGGGAAGAACAAAUGUGUAAGUAAAUAUGCACGUCUUGACGGUACCUAAUCAGAAAGCCACGGCUAACUACGUG
RNAcentral lists this ribosomal RNA (497 nucleotides) under uncultured bacterium. RNAcentral's name for it is "partial 16S ribosomal RNA". It matches the Rfam family "Bacterial small subunit ribosomal RNA", at positions 28 to 507 of the family's 1533-position model. The record is from RNAcentral.